RNAcentral lists this ribosomal RNA (759 nucleotides) under Triticum aestivum (bread wheat). RNAcentral describes it as "partial small subunit ribosomal RNA". The record is from RNAcentral. Lineage: Eukaryota; Viridiplantae; Streptophyta; Magnoliopsida; Poales; Poaceae.
AUGUCGAGCGCCGCCACCACCGGUUCCACUGCUGCGGGGUUCCUCCCGGCCUCUCUUGCGGCUCUGCUCAACCUCCCGCUCGAUGCCGUCGCCGUUCCGGCUCCGAUCGGGUCCAGGAGCAUCGGCUCCGUCUACUCCACGCCGCCGGCGCCCUCGCUUGGGCGCGACCUCGUGGUCCACACCGCGGCGCCGCCGUCCGCUGCGGACUCCGCGGGCGUCGUCCCGCUGCUCCUGCCGCCAGCGGAUCACACCGCCCCGCUGGCGGGGUUGGCGGCGUCCGCCCCGGCCGCGGGCCUUGCGGCGUCCGACCCGGCCGCGAGCUUUACGGCGUCCGCCCUGGCUGCGGUCCCGCCUCCUCCCGCAUCGGCUUCGGUGCCUCCGGCUGCCUCCAUGGUGUUUGCACCCCAGGCAGCCCCCUCGAUGGGAUCGUCUUCGCCGCCGCCGUUUCACUUCGGUUAUCUCAUCACCAUCAAGCUCUCCGCCGACAACUACAUCUUCUGGCGUGCGCAGGUUCUCCCGCUCUUGGGGAGUCACUACCUGCUAGGCUACGUCGACGGAUCGCUUCCCUGCCCACCCGCACUGGUAGACAGCGUGCACGGUCCGGUCUACAAUCCGGCCCAUCGCGUCUGGACGGGGCAGGACCAGGCGAACCUCUCCUCCAUCCAGGGGUCGCUCUCGCCGGCAGUUGCCGGACUUGUUGUCUUCGCGAAGACGUCUCAUGAGGCCUGGACCAUCCUUGAGCGAACCUUUGCAGCGUAG